Molecule: ribosomal RNA, 175 nt
Filed under: Hyphomicrobiales bacterium
Lineage: Bacteria; Pseudomonadati; Pseudomonadota; Alphaproteobacteria; Hyphomicrobiales
Description: Rhizobiales bacterium partial 23S ribosomal RNA
Rfam family: Bacterial large subunit ribosomal RNA
Source: RNAcentral
UAGCUAUAUUCGGACGGGAUAACUGCUGAAAGCAUCUAAGCAGGAAGCCUCCUUCAAAACGAGCAUUCCCUUGAGAGCCGUGGAAGACCACCACGUUGAUAGGCCGGAUGUGGAAGCGCAGCGAUGUGUGAAGCUGACCGGUACUAAUAGCUCGAUUGGCUUGAUCGUUCUCAUU